This 64-nucleotide transfer RNA is filed under the name Cavia porcellus (domestic guinea pig). It matches the Rfam family "tRNA", at positions 1 to 62 of the family's 71-position model. Rfam says of the family: Transfer RNA (tRNA) molecules are approximately 80 nucleotides in length. The record is from Rfam by way of RNAcentral. Lineage: Eukaryota; Metazoa; Chordata; Mammalia; Rodentia; Caviidae.
GGGGGUUUAGCUCAGUGGUAUAAGCACCUGCCUUGAAAGCAGGCAGUUGUGAGUUCGAUCCCUG